UACGUAGGGCGCAAGCGUUGUCCGGAAUUAUUGGGCGUAAAGAGCUCGUAGGCGGUUUGUCGCGUCUGCUGUGAAAACUCGAGGCUCAACCUCGGGCUUGCAGUGGGUACGGGCAGACUAGGGUGCGGUAGGGGUGACUGGAAUUCCUGGUGUAGCGGUGGAAUGCGCAGAUAUCAGGAGGAACACCGAUGGCGAAGGCAGGUCACUGGGCCGCAACUGACGCUGAGGAGCGAAAGCCAGGGGAGCAAACGGG
RNAcentral lists this ribosomal RNA (253 nucleotides) under uncultured bacterium. RNAcentral's name for it is "partial 16S ribosomal RNA". It matches the Rfam family "Bacterial small subunit ribosomal RNA", at positions 524 to 776 of the family's 1533-position model. The record is from RNAcentral.